This 497-nucleotide ribosomal RNA is filed under the name uncultured bacterium. RNAcentral's name for it is "partial 16S ribosomal RNA". It matches the Rfam family "Bacterial small subunit ribosomal RNA", at positions 28 to 507 of the family's 1533-position model. The record is from RNAcentral.
GAUGAACGCUGGCGGCGUGCCUAAUACAUGCAAGUCGAGCGAACGGACGAGAAGCUUGCUUCUCUGAUGUUAGCGGCGGACGGGUGAGUAACACGUGGAUAACCUACCUAUAAGACUGGGAUAACUUCGGGAAACCGGAGCUAAUACCGGAUAAUAUUUUGAACCGCAUGGUUCAAAAGUGAAAGACGGUCUUGCUGUCACUUAUAGAUGGAUCCGCGCUGCAUUAGCUAGUUGGUAAGGUAACGGCUUACCACGGCAACGAUGCAUAGCCGACGUGAGAGGGUGAUCGGCCACACUGGAACUGAGACACGGUCCAGACUCCUACGGGACGCAGCAGUAGGGAAUCUUCCGCAAUGGGCGAAAGCCUGACGGAGCAACGCCGCGUGAGUGAUGAAGGUCUUCGGAUCGUAAAACUCUGUUAUGAGGGAAGAACAUAUGUGUAAGUAACUGUGCACAUCGUGACGGUACCUAAUCAGAAAGCCACGGCUAACUACGUG